Humulus lupulus (European hop) is the source of this 639-nucleotide long non-coding RNA. RefSeq lists it as uncharacterized. Lineage: Eukaryota; Viridiplantae; Streptophyta; Magnoliopsida; Rosales; Cannabaceae. The transcript has 2 exons. The record is from RefSeq and is a predicted model, not a curated record.
AUGACAAAGGAAAGAGUAAACACCUGCUUUUCAAACUUGUGAAAUUGGCCUUCUUCUUCAUUUCCUCUUGCGCCAAUGAAGCUGUAGGGCUAAGAAGGUUGAUCGAGCUUUUCUCUGUCACUAGUUGGAUCCCAUGGUGAAGCUUCAUCCCUUCCAACGUCGGAAUUGAAUAUGGGUUUAGGCGUAGAUGAAUGGAGGUUCAGUCCCUUCCAACGCUGGAAUCGAAUCUGGGUUUCUACCUUGACCUACGACGGAGCUUUAGCUUUGUUGUUGGAUGAGGAACUUCUAUCUCAUACCCAAAUUUGCGACAUAUCUUUGGGAUUUUUGUUGAAGGAGGAGCUUCGUUUUCGGAUGAGGUUUGAUCUGUUACCUAGAUCUGCGAUGCAGCACCGCGAUUGGAGAAGGGAGGCCGGAGGUGGAGGUGGCAAUCUGUGCCACAACAAUGGUAGACGAAUAUUUGGAUUUUUGAACAUAUCUCAGAUCAGAUUUUGAAUUUUUGUAUAUCUUAUGUGUAUUUUUGUUUGCUGAUAAUUUUUGUGAGAGGUUGAGAUUGUGAUUUAAAGUUUUGGAUUUGAAAUUUUUUGUUUGCAAAUUUUGGUCUCCAAGAAGAAUGAACUCAAAAACAGAAAUUUGAUUUGA